Molecule: ribosomal RNA, 261 nt
Filed under: uncultured archaeon
Lineage: Archaea
Description: partial 16S ribosomal RNA
Rfam family: Archaeal small subunit ribosomal RNA
Source: RNAcentral
UAGCCGUAAACGAUACUCGCUAGGUGUCGGCCACGGUGCGACCGUUGUCGGUGCCGUAGGGAAGCCGUGAAGCGAGCCACCUGGGAAAUACGGCCGCAAGGCUGAAACUUAAAGGAAUUGGCGGGGGAGCACAACAACGGGUGGAGCUUGCGGUUUAAUUGGAUUCAACGCCGGAAAUCUUACCGGGACCGACAGCAACAUGAAGGCCAAGCUGAAGACUUUGCCGGAUUAGCUGAGAGGUGGUGCAUGGCGUAGUCGUGU